Molecule: long non-coding RNA, 1812 nt
Filed under: Pandoravirus neocaledonia
Description: hypothetical ncRNA
Source: RNAcentral
CGAACAUCUUGGGUGGCGUGUUAGGGUCGGUCUGGGGAAGGAACGAAGGCACGACGGGCUUCCUUCGGUAGGCUUCGAGUUCGGCGGCCUGGUCGUCGGUCUCGUCGGCGGCCGGUGGAAGAGCGCCGAUGGCAUCAGGUCCGAGGGCGCGUUCGAUCUUGUUGGCGUAUGCGCCCGCCGCCCCGCUGCGGGCGCGGACCGCACGAUUGGCGUUGGACUGUACAAGAGCGGCGAUCUUCUCGGCGGCCUCGUUGACUCGGUCGUCGCGCGCUCGUCGAUCUUGGAUAAAGUAAAAGGUCUUGAAGCGGGGGUCGAGGUAGACGGCAAGGAGAAGAGUCUCUGAGGCCUGGCCGUCGAGGAUGUUCCACCGGAGGGUGAGGUCAAACGAGAUGUCCUUCUUGAAUGUAGCGACGACAGGGUCGUCUUCGUCAACGGCCUUGAGGUGGUGAUGGAUGGCGCGGCUGACGAUCGGCAUGCCGGCGCCGAGAGUGGGCAGACGCUGGUAGGAGAGGAUCUCGGUCGAAUCGUUGAGUGGUUCAAGCACCGUCGCCAGUUGCUCGACGAGCGACCACUGGGCCGAGGUCAAGUCAGCAGGGACAGGCUUGCGGAGGCCGUGCAGGGCACCGAUGCAGGCCGAGACGGCGGGACGAGAGGACACGAGGCGCUCGAACAUGGUGUAGGCCGAACCCCACCUGGUCUUGUUGUCAAUCUUCAACGACUUGACCGACAAGCCUAGGGCCUUUUGCUUCUCGACAAGCAUCCUCUUGGCCGCCGGCGAGGCCUUGAAGGUCUUGGAGAUCGACUUGGCCGCCCGGAGGAUCGGCUUGACCUCGUCCGACUCGAGAGCCAGGCGAAUGGACCGGUUGAUGAGGUGGGCCACGCAGUAGAUCCACUCGAUCUUGAGGCACUUGGUCACCGCCGCCUUCAUGUUGGCCGCGCCGUCCGAGGUGACGGCGAUAAUCCGUUCGGUAUCGAUCUCCCACCCCAGGAUGACCUCUCGCACAACCUCGGCCAGGAACUCGGCCGUCUCCGAGGCCUUGACCGGAAUGACGUCGAGAACAAAGGACUCCAGGACCCAGUCCGUGGACACGCCGUGGACGGUGACGGCGAUGUAGGACCGGUUGGCGGCGCUGGUCCACGCGUCUAGGGUCAGCGACAGGUGGCGGAUGAUCUCCAACUUCUUGGCCACGGCCGACACGAGUCGCUUCUUCGCCGCCGGCAGCAGCGCCUUGGUCAGGCGCUUCCUCUUGGGCGGCUUGUAGGCGUUGUUCAGGUAGGACAGCAGUUCAAUAAAGUCCUCGUCGUCGACCAGACUCAUCGGCAGGCACCGGUUCGAGAUUAGCCUGGCCACUCGGGCAUCGGCCUCCUCCCUGCUGAAUCGCUUGGUCUUCCUGACCUGGUGCUUGUCGUUGUGCUUGUGCUUGACGUGCUUCAUCAGGUUGCCCGUCGACGUCGUCAUGCUGAACAGUUUCCCACAGUGCUUGCACUCGGCUCCGCCUUCGGUCGCGUCGAAAUGCUCCCACGCCUCACUGGUCACCUUCCUCGCCUGCUUGGGCUUCUCGCGCUUGGCCUUCUUGCUCUGUUGUUCGGCCGCCGCCUGUUCAUCGUCCUCUUCUUCCCCGUUCAUCCCUGAUAGGCCCGUGGAGGUAAGCACAUGAAACUUCGUCUUGCCUCUCUGCUUUUCACUGUACCUCAACCAAUCAGCACAUAGUUGGUUAUCCAAUGGGCAUCCUCCAUUUAAGCCAAUCGACGGUGUUGUCCGCAUAAAUUCGUGACCAAUAGACGCUCACGUUGGUAUAAGGAAAGUCUUUU